RNAcentral lists this ribosomal RNA (638 nucleotides) under uncultured bacterium. RNAcentral's name for it is "bacterial SSU rRNA". It matches the Rfam family "Bacterial small subunit ribosomal RNA", at positions 102 to 756 of the family's 1533-position model. The record is from RNAcentral.
ACGGGUGAGUAACGCGUGAGGAACCUGCCUCAAAGAGGGGGACAACAGUUGGAAACGACUGCUAAUACCGCAUAAGCCCACGGCUCGGCAUCGAGCAGAGGGAAAAGGAGUGAUCCGCUUUGAGAUGGCCUCGCGUCCGAUUAGCUGGUUGGUGAGGUAAUGGCCCACCAAGGCGACGAUCGGUAGCCGGACUGAGAGGUUGAACGGCCACAUUGGGACUGAGACACGGCCCAGACUCCUACGGGAGGCAGCAGUGGGGAAUAUUGCACAAUGGGGGAAACCCUGAUGCAGCGACGCCGCGUGGAGGAAGAAGGUCUUCGGAUUGUAAACUCCUGUUGUUGAGGAAGAUAAUGACGGUACUCAACAAGGAAGUGACGGCUAACUACGUGCCAGCAGCCGCGGUAAAACGUAGGUCACAAGCGUUGUCCGGAAUUACUGGGUGUAAAGGGAGCGCAGGCGGGAGGACAAGUUGGAAGUGAAAUCCAUGGGCUCAACCCAUGAACUGCUUUCAAAACUGUUUUUCUUGAGUAGUGCAGAGGUAGGCGGAAUUCCCGGUGUAGCGGUGGAAUGCGUAGAUAUCGGGAGGAACACCAGUGGCGAAGGCGGCCUACUGGGCACCAACUGACGCUGAGGCUCGA